UAUUCUUUUUUUUUAUUUUCGGUGUGCUAUGCAAAAGUUCUACAGCCUCUGUGUUAUUUUUUUUAAGUGUGCAAGUUUUCGUUCAAGUGUGUCUUGUUUACUUUUUGAUACCAAAAGUGAAAAAAACAACUGUUCCGAAAAAAAAAAUGCAAGGAGCCAAUAUCCAGAGAAGCCGGUGUCCCGAAAAGCCCCGUAUCCAGAUUGCAGGAAAUCUUUCGACCUCCAGCGGCUUUAGGAGAGUUUACAAAGUCACUCUGGCUCAAAACAACCGGCCGUUUUCAUCGAACCCAUUAGACGGUCAAGGAUGGUCGUCAUCCAUCGGAUGAGAAGACUUAUCCACCUCUAAAUAGCUUCAUCCCAAGAUGCUGACGAUGGUAGCUGCUAAAUGCUGUUACGGCUCAUUACCGUUCACAAGAAGGAAACCGACAAAUUGUGCCUAGAGCUAAGGAAAAGGAAGUCUGCACCAAGAGGUUCGUUUUAUGUUUUAUAA
RNAcentral lists this long non-coding RNA (490 nucleotides) under Aedes aegypti (yellow fever mosquito). RNAcentral describes it as "lncRNA AAEL027113". The record is from RNAcentral. Lineage: Eukaryota; Metazoa; Arthropoda; Insecta; Diptera; Culicidae.